This is a long non-coding RNA of Mirounga angustirostris (Northern elephant seal), 3161 nucleotides long. RefSeq lists it as uncharacterized. The record is from RefSeq and is a predicted model, not a curated record. Lineage: Eukaryota; Metazoa; Chordata; Mammalia; Carnivora; Phocidae. The transcript has 3 exons.
UUUUUACAGAUAAUAAUGAUAGGUUCAGCCAACCCUUCUCUUCAACUCAAACUACACUGUGGUGUCCUAAUUCCAGACAUGGGGCUCGCAGACCACCCACUUGGCCCCCUGUUGAAAAGCUGCCUGGGCCCAACGCUUCCCUUACUCUUGGGUCUGGCCACCGCAUGCAGCCAAAUUGCUUACAGUGUUUCAUCAGCAACUUAAUCCACAGCUCCCCUGUGGGUUCUGAAGAGCAGAAAGCUAGCUGAAGAGGCCAGCAAUAGCAAAGACACAACCCAAAGUCAAUCCAAUCUCACUGGGGGCGCCAACAUCUCAGUGAUUUUUGAGUCAGAGGCUCGGACUUGGCAACGGACAAAGACGGAAGUGAUACACCUUGCAGGAGAAGAGUGACCAGCUGCAGUGCCCAGGUCCCAGCCAGCUCUUAUGGUGGCAUCACCAUCACACCUACCCCCAAGAAUAAGAGAAAAUGAAGAGUGGGAUGAAGAGAGGAAAUAAGUUCAAGAAAGGAAGAGGGCGGAGCACACGGAUGAGGUAAAGCAGCAGGGAGAAGGAGAGGAGUAUAGAAGGCAUUCCGGGUGUGCCUGGCUGGCUCAGUCAAUGGAGCGCGUGACUCUUGAUCUUGGGGUUCUGAGCUCAAGCCCCACAUUGGAUGUAGAGAUUACUUAAAAAUAAAAUCUUAAAAAAAAGAAGGCAUUCCAGAGACAUUUUUACCUUCAGAGCAACAUUGGAAUGAAUUUCAAUAAUAAUAAAAAAAAAUGCCUGGUUUACCUUGCUUCACCCCAUCUCAAACUUACUUUUUUUUUUUUUCAAACUUACUUUGAAGGAUACUCAUGCCAAGUCUACCAAAGCAAAGCACAGACUGGACGGGAUUAUCUAAGAUAUUUUUUUGAAAUGCUUUCAUUUGAAAUGUGCAGCUAAUUGGUAUAAAGUUUUUCACCUGAGUUUUUAUUUGCUAACAUUGCCAUGGGCUUCAGCCAUUUCACCAUGUUUUUGCUCUUUGUCCUUUUGCAAAAUUUUCUUUACCCUCAUGGACCAAAAGCCCAAGUAAACAAUCUCCUUAGUUACAGAACUAAAUGACUGACUUACCGGGUAUUGAGGAUGUGUCUUCAUAAUUCCAAACCAAAAGAAGAAAGCCAGUGAGCAGCAGGAUCGGCAUGGUGGCCACAGGCAUGACUUCGGGCAUCAUGCUGGUGAUGUUAUAAUGCAUUGGGUUCAGCAUUUCCAAAACCAUCUUUUAUUCCUUGAUCUCAAGAGAAAAAACUUAGAGUCCUGUGGAAAUCAGAGGAGCAAAACAAAAAUUAGAGAAUCCCCCAAAGUAUACAUCCAGGACUCCUGUUGCUUCAGAGGAUGCUGUAGUGCAGAAAUCAGCGUUUGUUUUAUAAUGUGAUUGGACACCUAGACAAGACAAACUUGUGGUUACAAGUCAAAACAAGCAAGCCAAAGAGAGAUCUUUUGGCUUGAAGUACAGCAUUUCUGACCUUGGUAGAGUCUCAGGUUCGUUUAGACGCUUGGUUUGAUAGAACCUUAUCAUCUUGCCCUUGAGUGGGUAGAGUGGCUGAAUUCCCAAUUGAGAAUCAAAUUUCUUACCAAAAUACAAGAAAAUGAAGCUCAUUCCAGAGGUGGAGCCUUUCUGUGACUUCAUCAGCAGAUAUUGCUUAGGCAAUCUUUUUCUCUUGAUGCCAAAUCAAUUUUUUAAAAAGUAAUCCCUAACCCCCUUCCUUGCUCAAAAUUAAUUCCCCCAAAGAGUAAGUUUCUCUAGGAAGAAUAGUUGCUUGGGCAUUGUCGAGGUAUCCUCAGAGACUUCUAUUGGGUUGUUUGUUGAAUUCAGCGUGACUCACUCAGGACGAUCUUUUCUCUAUUGGCUUGAAUAAGGCUUAAAAUCUUUUGCACCACAGGCUGGAUGAAGCAGUACUCAUGGGGGCCAAUGUCAGAAGUAGUAGGAGAGAAGAAUGAGAGACGGAGAUUCCAGGGAGAGGAGAACGAGAUGGAAUGGGGGGGGGAGGAAGAAAACAAAGGACAGAAAGAGUAGAAUGCCACCAGCAAUAGGCUCAGGUCCACUCAUGCUUUGCCCACAGCAGCUAACCUCCUGUGCAAGACAAUUUUCAGUUUGAUUUGCUGGUUCUGUCAUGUUUCUCAACAAUGUAAUGUUGAGUCUGUCUUUUCAGUAAGGUUUUCUAAGACCAAUACUCACAGAGGAGAGUUUCAGGGAUGAUGGUUUGUUGAAGAGACCUAGACUGAAUAAACUUGCAUAGCAAGGCAAGAGCGACCAUUCAAUGUGGUUCUGGUGGCAGAUGACUGCUCUGAGGAUUACCCUCCCUUGGAAAGUGACCUGAGUUUUCAGGACUUAUAAUGGCUCUGAAACAGAUUUUGGCAGGAUUUUAUCUAGGAAUAGUUCUAGAUUCUUAACCAGGGCUUCUAAUUGGAUUUUGGUUGCUCUGUGAACUCCCUGAAAUGCUGCAUAAAGUAUUGUAUCUGCUCACCUGAACUUUUAGAGGGAAAGAACUUUUAUCAGAUUCUUAAAAAGUAUGUAAUUACAUUUCCCCCCUGAUCUAUGUGAGAUCUUAAUUUUAUUUUAUUUAUUUUUUAAUUUAUUUGACACGGAGAGAGGGAGCACAAGCAGGGGGAGUAGCAGGCAGAGAGAGAGGGAGAAGCAGGCUCCCCUUUGAGCAGGGAGCUGGAUGUGGGGCUGGAUCCCAGGACCCUGGGAUCAUGACCUGAGCCAAAGGCAGAGGCUUAAACCAAGGAACCACCAUUACAUCAUUCUGAAUAAACUCCCUGGAACUUUAUGACAGCCAGGAUCCUCAAGGUUUCUGUUGAUAUUGACGAAACUUGAAACCAAUGCUAAAGGUGUAAGUGAAGAAGGUGGUUGAGACAAAAAGGAGGAAGAUGCACCAGAGGAAGUGAUCCUGGCAGAAAACUUCACAUUAAAGAAACUCUCAGAAAAAAAAUUUUAGAAAAAAUAAAAUAAAAUAACUCUCAGAGAUAUUUCGCAGCAUUGAAGUCACAAAGAAUAACAUGUUGGAAGCUGACACAAAUUUAUAAAGGAGUAUGACGAUUCACCAAGGCUUAGAAAAGAUGCUCCGUCCAUAUCAUAAGUUACACAAGGAGGAGAUGGCAGCAAGAGAUAUUCAAAUACUCUCAUUUUUUUUUUUACAAACAAA